RNAcentral lists this ribosomal RNA (442 nucleotides) under uncultured bacterium. RNAcentral describes it as "bacterial SSU rRNA". It matches the Rfam family "Bacterial small subunit ribosomal RNA", at positions 338 to 795 of the family's 1533-position model. The record is from RNAcentral.
CCUACGGGGGGCUGCAGUGAGGAAUAUUCCACAAUGGGCGAAAGCCUGAUGGAGCAACGCCGCGUGCAGGAUGAAGGCCUUCGGGUCGUAAACUGCUUUUAUAAGUGAAUAACAUGAAUGUAUCUUAUGAAUAAGCACCGGCUAACUACGUGCCAGCAGCCGCGGUCAUACGUAGGGUGCAAGCAUUAUCCGGAGUGACUGGGCGUAAAGAGUUGCGUAGGUGGUUUAUCAAGUGAAUAGUGAAAUCUGGUGGCUCAACCACAUAGACUAUUAUUCAAACUGGUAAACUCGAGAGUAGCAGAGGUAACUGGAAUUUCUAGUGUAGGAGUGAAAUCCGUAGAUAUUAGAAGGAACACCAAUGGCAUAGGCAGGUUACUGGGCUAUUUCUGACACUAAGGCACGAAAGCGUGGGGAGCGAACCGGCUUAGAUACCCCGGUAGUC